AUCAAAAGAGCAUUCAUACCAAUUUUGACUAGUUUGCAUAAAAUCUGAAUUAUGAGAAUAUCAGAAGAACAUUUUAAUUAACUUUCUUAAACAUUUAAGCUGACCGAUUUUCCUUGUAAUUUUGUUUGUGUUGAGUAUGAAAGUAUUGUUGUAUUAAUCCUGCAUUCUUUAGUGAGAGUUAGUUUAAGAAUGAACAUUUACCUCUCACACCAAACGUAUUUGUAAUCUCCAAUGUUUUUUAUUUUAUUUUAUUUUUUUAUUUUUAUUUGUGCAUGCAUUUAUCUUCUUAUCUACUUUAUAUUACUAAUUUGCGUGAAAUUUUAUUUAGUCUAUUGAUGUUAGCAUACUGUCAUAUUGCUUAUAAUCAAUUUGCUAUUUAAUGUAUUGGGGGAAAACUAUUGGUAUCAGUUAUGGUGGUCCAAUCUACUGAUCCUCCCCUCCAUACACAUAAGAUAAGUUGAUAACUAAAUUGAUUAAUUUCACAUUAUAUUUGUCAUCAUAAGAAAUCUAGCAAGGAUACGGGUCAAAUUUUAUUAGAUGUUUUUUUCCAAAAAGUUUUUUAAUAAAAUAAGAAUAGAUAAACUAAAAUACCAUUUUGCCCUUAAUAAUCAAGUGAAAAGGAAUGGUCAUGGUCCUAUCUAAUUGAUGUAUAUAUGCUUGUCGGCUAACUAGUGCUACAAUAAAAAUAUUCGAAAUAAAUAAUAUAUAAUAUUUUUGUAAUAUAUAUAUAUAUAGAUAUUGUGAAUCAAAUAAAGAAGAGAGCAGGUGGCUGCCAGCCGAGGGAGGGGAGAAGAAGGAAAAAGAAAGAAAAGAAAAAGAGAAAAAGAAAAGGAAAGAAGGAAAAGUAAGUGGAUGGCCCCACAAGAGGAUUUUACAUUUUGGACAAACUACAAUGACCUUCCCUGAUGUUUGACUUAAUUGUAACUAAACCUGAAUUUUAUCAUUUUUUUGCAACAAGUCCCGUUGAGGUUUGCAAUUUUUUGCAAAGACCUCCCCUUUGUACAAAAUUUCAUAAUUUUUGUUAGAAAAUUUGGUUAAAGUGACUAAAAUGCCCAUCAACUAGGUGUAAAAGACCAUAUUACCCUUAUAAUAUAUGGAAUAACAAAAAAAAAAAAUCAUGCUUAAAAACAAGAGCAACCACCACUCCACCGGUAGCCGUCGUCGCUGCCAAACAAACCCACAGAGAAACUAAACCCACAAUUAGAUACCCCAUAUCUCAUGGUAGCCAUUCCUUCACAAUACAAUGCACAAAAUGUCAAUACAAAACCAAACCCCAGAAAAAAACAUAAUAGCGUAUCUUUGUGUAAUGAUAUGCUCAUGAGACUACCUCUCAAAUGGUCAAACUGUCAACCAGCCUACAAACAGCAAACUAGUGUUCUUUCCUCUCUAACUUUUUCUCAUUAGCUGGCAUAUAUGUAUAUACAUUUAUAUUCAAUAUUGUAUCAAUGUAAUGAUAUAUUGCAUUAAUUUUAGGGUUUGAUUUUGAUUAAUUUUGAAAACAAAUGUUGAUUUUGUACAUAUCAAUCAAUAUGGAUGGAUUUGAGGUUUGAUUGAUCAAUCUUGGAGUUUUAGCUUGAUUUUUCCAGUGAACCACCAAGCACCCACCCACCCACCCACCCACCCAUCUUUAAUUCUCUCUGAAUCUUGUUCCAGUUCCGGCGAAGAAAAGCCCCAAAUCGAGACUUCUUCUUCAUGGGUUUGCAUAUACGACCAUGGGCAACAGCACCACCAUCACAACCACGCGCAGCCGCCGACAGAACCAUUACUCUCAGGGAAAUCCGCGUCGUGUCCCUCUCUCCAUCACCGUCCCUAACAACAUCUCACACGACUACAUGCACUUUGAGUCUCGAAACAGAUGGCGCGUCCCUCUCUCCAUCACCGUCCCUGCCCAGACUCACGCGACCACACCCACGCAAUCGGACCCAACCAGUGCUGCUCCGCCGUCAUCCAGACCAUCGCCGCCCAAUUCCGCCGUCUAGUCCAUCGUUCGCUGCUUCCACAACCUCUUGACCUGCAAGCCCUUCCUCAACGAGAAUUCCAGCAACAUGAAGACAAACCGAGAGCCUGAGAGCAUCAACAAGAAGAAAUUCGGUGAAGAGCCCUAAAAAUUCAGUAACGUGAAAACUGGUGGCGAAGGAGAGGAGAGAGGAAUAAUGGGAUACGGAAAGGAAGUGGCGGACGACGCUCCUCCACAGAUUUUGAUAGGAAAGGACGAUAACGUCUUUAGUUGACCUCGGGUUUGGGUAAAGACUUGAUUAGUGAUUUGGACCAUCGGGUUCGGGUCGUUACAAUUUUUGCACUAGAUAAGAUUUAAUUAAUGUAUGCAAGCAUACUUUUUUGUAAUAUUUAUGUUAAUAAUUAGGUAAAGAAUGUGUGAGGUAAAUAAUAUAUAUAUAUAUAUAGUUUGGUUGAUAAAGAAUGAAGUAAGGAGUAAAGAGGUUAGUUUGGUCCAAUAAAAUGAUUUGUAGAGGGUAGAAAGGUUAUUCCAUGAUUUAAAUAAGUUAACUAACAAAUUAAAGGGUAAUAAAAAAAAAUUAUAGGAAUUUUAGGCUUGCUUAUUUGCAUAAUGUAAAUUUUUUUUUUUAUAUUACUACACAUACAAAAUGUAAUUUUUUUUUUUCCUAUAUGUUUAUUAAUUUUUUUUAACAUAUAGUUAUUUAUACGUAGUAAUUUUAAUAGGUUCAAGAAUGUGGUUGUCCUGAUAGUAGUGUAUAUGUAUGAUUUUUUUUUUUUUUUAAAUUAUCAGUCAGUAUAUUAAAUAAUUAUUUUAUACUUAUCAAAAAAAAAAAAAAAAAUGUAUGAUUUUUUUUGAAAUUGCAUUUGUAUUCAUUUGUUUCUCUAUGACAUUGUAAGAAAAGCUAAGGGGUCGAGUUUACUACAAUUACUUGAAAUGCAUUUGGAUAACAUCCUUGAGACUCAGUUGAAUUUAGUUAAAUGAUAUAGAGACGAUAUUGGCACUUCCCUUCUCAACUAUUGCACUUCACACUUUUCCCUUCUUUUUUUUUUUUUUUUAAAUGAUAAAAAGUCUAUUAAACUCUCCCAAAAAUAUGUCUACGGCAUCACACCCAGAUGAGCCAGAUUCCCCGUACCAAACACGA
Molecule: long non-coding RNA, 3098 nt
Organism: Cornus florida
Lineage: Eukaryota; Viridiplantae; Streptophyta; Magnoliopsida; Cornales; Cornaceae
Exons: 3
Source: RefSeq, a predicted model, not a curated record